Molecule: ribosomal RNA, 523 nt
Filed under: uncultured Alcaligenes sp.
Lineage: Bacteria; Pseudomonadati; Pseudomonadota; Betaproteobacteria; Burkholderiales; Alcaligenaceae
Description: bacterial SSU rRNA
Rfam family: Bacterial small subunit ribosomal RNA
Source: RNAcentral
CAUGCAGUCGAACGGCAGCACGGACUUCGGUCUGGUGGCGAGUGGCGAACGGGCUGAGUAAUGUAUCGGAACGUGCCCAGUAGCGGGGGAUAACUACGCGAAAGCGUAGCUAAUACCGCAUACGCCCUACGGGGGAAAGCAGGGGAUCGCAAGACCUUGCACUAUUGGAGCGGCCGAUAUCGGAUUAGCUAGUUGGUGGGGUAACGGCUCACCAAGGCGACGAUCCGUAGCUGGUUUGAGAGGACGACCAGCCACACUGGGACUGAGACACGGCCCAGACUCCUACGGGAGGCAGCAGUGGGGAAUUUUGGACAAUGGGGGAAACCCUGAUCCAGCCAUCCCGCGUGUGCGAUGAAGGCCUUCGGGUUGUAAAGCACUUUUGGCAGGAAAGAAACGUCGCGGGUUAAUACCCCGCGGAACUAACGGUACCUGCAGAAUAAGCACCGGCUAACUACGUGCCAGCAGCCGCGGUAAUACGUAGGGUGCAAGCGUUACUCGGAUUUACUGGGCGUAAAGCGUGCGG